AAUUAUGGACAAUGGGGGAAACCCUGAUCCAGCCAUCCCGCGAGUAUGAUUAAGGACUUCGGGUUGUAAAGUACUUUUGGCAGAGAAGAAAAGGUACCUAAUCAUACGCGGUCCAGCUGUCGGUAUCUGAAGAAUAAGCACCGGCUACCUACGAGCCAGCAGCCGCGGUAAUACGUAGGGUGCAAGCGUAAAUCGGAAUUACUGGGCGUAAAGCGUGUGUAGGCGGUUCGGAAAGAAAGAUUUGAAAUCCCAGGGCUCAACCUUGGAACUGCAUUUUUAACUGCCGAGCUAGAGUAUGUCAGAAGGGGGUAGAAUUCCACGUGUAGCAGUGAAAUGCGUAGAUAUGUGGAGGAAUACCGAUGGCGAAGGCAGCCCCCUGGGAUAAUACUGACGCUCAGACACGAAAGCGUGGGGAGCAAACAG
This 423-nucleotide ribosomal RNA is filed under the name uncultured bacterium. RNAcentral describes it as "partial 16S ribosomal RNA". It matches the Rfam family "Bacterial small subunit ribosomal RNA", at positions 360 to 775 of the family's 1533-position model. The record is from RNAcentral.